This is a long non-coding RNA of Homo sapiens (human), 546 nucleotides long. Lineage: Eukaryota; Metazoa; Chordata; Mammalia; Primates; Hominidae. The record is from Ensembl.
AGAUGUCCAGGAUUUACCAGCUCAUGUAUAACAUGGAAUCAUACUAACAACAUUCACCAUGUUCUGUUGGCUCUUAAUGUUCCAGUUAAUACAGAAACUCUACCCCUGCCAAUUGCCCUCCCCAUGCAUUGACUUCUGCAAAUUCUCCAGUAGUGUCACAAGCAAGUCCUUAUCUUCCAGGCUUGGAAUAACACGUACACAACUAUAUAUGGUGGUCAUCUUUGAAGGACUGCAGUUAUGAAAAAACCAUCAGUUCAACUGUCCUGGACAGCAUUUCAUUUUAUUAUGUAACUGUAGAAAGCCUUGAUCAAGAUAAAAAUAGGGAUGACUUAUCAGAAACUGAAGAAUUUUCUUAGGAAAGCAAAGUUUACUGAAGGAUACCUUCAUUCCAGCCAUGAUGAGCAUCUGUCUUCUCAGGCAAUCAUGAUGAAGCUCCAGGGACAGUAUAACCCAUCUCUCCCACUCAUCCCUGAGCCUUGGUCCUGGACUGAAUGUGGUUAGAGGUUGUGGAAAUAAAAAAAAGAACCAAAAUAAGAACACUCUCCA